GGGAAAACACGUAUUCCCCCGCUGUGCACCGAAAGAGGAGGCCGAGGAGACCCAUUUCAAGUAUUCAAGGUCCUCAAAGAUGCUGGCAGUCAAUCCAGGAGACUUCAGAAUGAACAGUGAAUCGCUCACUGAAAAGGAUGUAGGAAUGCUUUUAAAACUGCAAACAGAAGGCGCUUCCUGACACAAAGGUUUGCUGGAUGAGAUCCUCAGAUUGGUUAACUGCCUCGCAGGAAGUCUUCCCUCCCUUGACCCAGGCUUGUGAAGACACAAGAUAAAACGGCACUCUUUUGGAGAUCAUGAUUCUUCUCCUCACUAGAUGGCUUGAGCAUCUGAAGGAUUUAUGCCAGCUCUUUUAAAACUGAAAGCUUGUUUUCAUCCUUACGGUGUUAUUGCAUG
Non-coding RNA from Lepisosteus oculatus (spotted gar), 396 nucleotides. The record is from RefSeq and is a predicted model, not a curated record. NCBI's taxonomy places the organism in Eukaryota, Metazoa, Chordata, Actinopteri, Semionotiformes, Lepisosteidae.